CUGGAGCUUGCUCCGGCCGUGAGAGUGGCGAACGGGUGAGUAAUGCGUGACCGACCUGCCCCAUACACCGGAAUAGCUCCUGGAAACGGGUGGUAAUGCCGGAUGCUCCAGUUGGAUGCAUGUCCUUCUGGGAAAGAUUCUAUCGGUAUGGGAUGGGGUCGCGUCCUAUCAGCUUGAUGGCGGGGUAACGGCCCACCAUGGCUUCGACGGGUAGCCGGCCUGAGAGGGCGACCGGCCACAUUGGGACUGAGAUACGGCCCAGACUCC
Molecule: ribosomal RNA, 267 nt
Filed under: uncultured Bifidobacterium sp.
Lineage: Bacteria; Bacillati; Actinomycetota; Actinomycetes; Bifidobacteriales; Bifidobacteriaceae
Description: partial 16S ribosomal RNA
Rfam family: Bacterial small subunit ribosomal RNA
Source: RNAcentral